This 2903-nucleotide ribosomal RNA is filed under the name Escherichia coli. RNAcentral describes it as "23S ribosomal RNA". It matches the Rfam family "Bacterial large subunit ribosomal RNA". Lineage: Bacteria; Pseudomonadati; Pseudomonadota; Gammaproteobacteria; Enterobacterales; Enterobacteriaceae. The record is from RNAcentral.
UUAAGCGACUAAGCGUACACGGUGGAUGCCCUGGCAGUCAGAGGCGAUGAAGGACGUGCUAAUCUGCGAUAAGCGUCGGUAAGGUGAUAUGAACCGUUAUAACCGGCGAUUUCCGAAUGGGGAAACCCAGUGUGAUUCGUCACACUAUCAUUAACUGAAUCCAUAGGUUAAUGAGGCGAACCGGGGGAACUGAAACAUCUAAGUACCCCGAGGAAAAGAAAUCAACCGAGAUUCCCCCAGUAGCGGCGAGCGAACGGGGAGGAGCCCAGAGCCUGAAUCAGUGUGUGUGUUAGUGGAAGCGUCUGGAAAGGCGCGCGAUACAGGGUGACAGCCCCGUACACAAAAAUGCACAUGCUGUGAGCUCGAUGAGUAGGGCGGGACACGUGGUAUCCUGUCUGAAUAUGGGGGGACCAUCCUCCAAGGCUAAAUACUCCUGACUGACCGAUAGUGAACCAGUACCGUGAGGGAAAGGCGAAAAGAACCCCGGCGAGGGGAGUGAAAAAGAACCUGAAACCGUGUACGUACAAGCAGUGGGAGCCUCUUUAUGGGGUGACUGCGUACCUUUUGUAUAAUGGGUCAGCGACUUAUAUUCUGUAGCAAGGUUAACCGAAUAGGGGAGCCGAAGGGAAACCGAGUCUUAACUGGGCGUUAAGUUGCAGGGUAUAGACCCGAAACCCGGUGAUCUAGCCAUGGGCAGGUUGAAGGUUGGGUAACACUAACUGGAGGACCGAACCGACUAAUGUUGAAAAAUUAGCGGAUGACUUGUGGCUGGGGGUGAAAGGCCAAUCAAACCGGGAGAUAGCUGGUUCUCCCCGAAAGCUAUUUAGGUAGCGCCUCGUGAAUUCAUCUCCGGGGGUAGAGCACUGUUUCGGCAAGGGGGUCAUCCCGACUUACCAACCCGAUGCAAACUGCGAAUACCGGAGAAUGUUAUCACGGGAGACACACGGCGGGUGCUAACGUCCGUCGUGAAGAGGGAAACAACCCAGACCGCCAGCUAAGGUCCCAAAGUCAUGGUUAAGUGGGAAACGAUGUGGGAAGGCCCAGACAGCCAGGAUGUUGGCUUAGAAGCAGCCAUCAUUUAAAGAAAGCGUAAUAGCUCACUGGUCGAGUCGGCCUGCGCGGAAGAUGUAACGGGGCUAAACCAUGCACCGAAGCUGCGGCAGCGACGCUUAUGCGUUGUUGGGUAGGGGAGCGUUCUGUAAGCCUGCGAAGGUGUACUGUGAGGUAUGCUGGAGGUAUCAGAAGUGCGAAUGCUGACAUAAGUAACGAUAAAGCGGGUGAAAAGCCCGCUCGCCGGAAGACCAAGGGUUCCUGUCCAACGUUAAUCGGGGCAGGGUGAGUCGACCCCUAAGGCGAGGCCGAAAGGCGUAGUCGAUGGGAAACAGGUUAAUAUUCCUGUACUUGGUGUUACUGCGAAGGGGGGACGGAGAAGGCUAUGUUGGCCGGGCGACGGUUGUCCCGGUUUAAGCGUGUAGGCUGGUUUUCCAGGCAAAUCCGGAAAAUCAAGGCUGAGGCGUGAUGACGAGGCACUACGGUGCUGAAGCAACAAAUGCCCUGCUUCCAGGAAAAGCCUCUAAGCAUCAGGUAACAUCAAAUCGUACCCCAAACCGACACAGGUGGUCAGGUAGAGAAUACCAAGGCGCUUGAGAGAACUCGGGUGAAGGAACUAGGCAAAAUGGUGCCGUAACUUCGGGAGAAGGCACGCUGAUACGUAGGUGAAGUCCCUUGCGGAUGGAGCUGAAAUCAGUCGAAGAUACCAGCUGGCUGCAACUGUUUAUUAAAAACACAGCACUGUGCAAACACGAAAGUGGACGUAUACGGUGUGACGCCUGCCCGGUGCCGGAAGGUUAAUUGAUGGGGUUAGCGGUAACGCGAAGCUCUUGAUCGAAGCCCCGGUAAACGGCGGCCGUAACUAUAACGGUCCUAAGGUAGCGAAAUUCCUUGUCGGGUAAGUUCCGACCUGCACGAAUGGCGUAAUGAUGGCCAGGCUGUCUCCACCCGAGACUCAGUGAAAUUGAACUCGCUGUGAAGAUGCAGUGUACCCGCGGCAAGACGGAAAGACCCCGUGAACCUUUACUAUAGCUUGACACUGAACAUUGAGCCUUGAUGUGUAGGAUAGGUGGGAGGCUUUGAAGUGUGGACGCCAGUCUGCAUGGAGCCGACCUUGAAAUACCACCCUUUAAUGUUUGAUGUUCUAACGUUGGCCCCUGAUCGGGGUUGCGGACAGUGUCUGGUGGGUAGUUUGACUGGGGCGGUCUCCUCCUAAAGAGUAACGGAGGAGCACGAAGGUUGGCUAAUCCUGGUCGGACAUCAGGAGGUUAGUGCAAUGGCAUAAGCCAGCUUGACUGCGAGCGUGACGGCGCGAGCAGGUGCGAAAGCAGGUCAUAGUGAUCCGGUGGUUCUGAAUGGAAGGGCCAUCGCUCAACGGAUAAAAGGUACUCCGGGGAUAACAGGCUGAUACCGCCCAAGAGUUCAUAUCGACGGCGGUGUUUGGCACCUCGAUGUCGGCUCAUCACAUCCUGGGGCUGAAGUAGGUCCCAAGGGUAUGGCUGUUCGCCAUUUAAAGUGGUACGCGAGCUGGGUUUAGAACGUCGUGAGACAGUUCGGUCCCUAUCUGCCGUGGGCGCUGGAGAACUGAGGGGGGCUGCUCCUAGUACGAGAGGACCGGAGUGGACGCAUCACUGGUGUUCGGGUUGUCAUGCCAAUGGCACUGCCCGGUAGCUAAAUGCGGAAGAGAUAAGUGCUGAAAGCAUCUAAGCACGAAACUUGCCCCGAGAUGAGUUCUCCCUGACCCUUUAAGGGUCCUGAAGGAACGUUGAAGACGACGACGUUGAUAGGCCGGGUGUGUAAGCGCAGCGAUGCGUUGAGCUAACCGGUACUAAUGAACCGUGAGGCUUAACCUU